This is a long non-coding RNA of Catharus ustulatus (Swainson's thrush), 2061 nucleotides long. RefSeq lists it as uncharacterized. The record is from RefSeq and is a predicted model, not a curated record. The transcript has 2 exons. NCBI's taxonomy places the organism in Eukaryota, Metazoa, Chordata, Aves, Passeriformes, Turdidae.
GGCAGGCAGAGGGAUAGUGCGAGGGAACUGGGAGGGAACUGCCCAGCACUGGGCAGCGUGCAGCAGGAACUGGGAUGAGCAGAGAGGAGGGAGAAGUGACCCCAGCCACUGCACAGCGACUUCUUUUCGAUAACUGUGUUUGAAGUGGGGAGGACACCCGGUCUCAGUUUAAGGAAAAUACACAUUUUUUCAUUAUUUUGGUGUCUCACCGUAGGCGGGAAAUCACGGUUUUCCAUUACUUUCAUGUUUAAAUGGAAGGAGAGUACCUUUAUGGUGCUGUUCUAUGAGUUUGAAUUGAGGGACAGCUCAGUUUGACUGAUCUAAGGGCGUAACUCCGGCUGAUCGGCAGCACCACACGCACAAAUCCAUCUCACCUUUCCAUGUCCGUCCCGCGCUCCUGGCGCGCACGCGCGGCGCGUUUUGUUUUCCUCACUGGUUCGGUCGGGUACGGGGGAGGGGUCACGGCCCCUUCGGGCGGAACCCGCUCCGCAGAUUCUGACACAGCAGCAAACUCCGCUCCAGCUACACUGUGGGCUGGCACCCGGCAGCAUCUUCCCCUCUAAUCCCGACUUUGGGCGAGCGCUUCUCUCUCCCGGACACGAGGCGGCCGCCGGAGCUCGGAGCGGCUCCAGCCCAGGAGAAGGACCGGCCCCCCUGGCGGUGAUGGGCGAGCCCCCGGAACUGAUCCUGACGGUGACAGAACCGCAUCUGGGCCACAAUCACCUGUCCUGCUGUGCCAUGACAGGUGAGCCGGGAACUGAACUGUGGGACAGGACAUGUCCGAGGAGAGAGACGGGAAUAAAACCAUGCCUGCUCUUCUGGGCAAGCACGGCUCCCCCACCCUAAAGCACGAUCUGAAGUCACUUUUACCGUGGUUCUCACGCAUGUUGUCCCUUCUUCUAUUGUUACCCUUCUCCUCUGGGACAAGGUCGGCGUUCAGCUCUCUGAUCUGGCUACUGCGGGACACGAGCAGGCAAUGCGUGUGCUGGCGGCCUGCAGGGGGAUUUUUGGAGCACUGGAAAAGCAAGAGCAGUCUCAGGCUGUAUCCUGUGCGGAUGCCGCCGGCCCCUGCCCCGCUCUGACUCUCCCUGCCCGCCUGACCCUGGCGCUGCUGAUGCUGGAGAGCGGCCGCAGCCAUCACCCCCUGUGCCCAGCCCAAGGAGGGGAAGGCAUUCUGUCUCAGGGCCUGAGCAGCCGAUCCAUCAGAUCUGACUGCGGCUCCAGCACUGAGGAGGAGGGGUCCCCUUCCAGCCGGGACCAACAGAUCCAGGAGCUGAGCCUGACCUAUUCCCUCCUGACCACAUGAAAACUGGGUGCCAUUGAAGGAAAAGGCUCUGAAGGAGGGGGAUUUUUGUAUCACAGCAAAAAUAGUGGUGCCAGUCCGGCUUCACGGUGAAACAACCCGCAGUGGGAACCCCUCGCUUAUUGGGAAUUAAGGAACUGCACUGCACGGCUACAGAACAGGGGCUGGGAUCUCCCUACUUUACUCAUCUUUCACGCUCUAUGUUGUCAAAUCAUCUUAUGGACCCCUCCUGAUUUAAAGGGGCUGGAGAACUUACUAUGAACCCCAACUCAGUGUGUCAUUUUGGAUGCUGAGAGGAAUGACGGAUUUAUCUUUACAAACAAGAUUUGAGUGUACUGGUAGAUAAAACUAGCACUGAGAGAGAAGAGAAACAAUGGGAAGGAUUACACUGACUGGUGACUGGAAAAAAAAUGUAUUUGACUUUACAAACAAAGUGUAGGCUAUCUGAUAAAUGAAACUGGAUAUUAAAAGAUUAAAGAAACACAGUGGGAAAACCAUAAAUUCCAUAAGAAGUAAAAAUUAAAAGGCAGGGUUAUACAUUAGAGGGGAAUGUCUGUUAUCAGGUGUUCCAGGAAGUCUGUACCUCUCAAGUACCUCAGCCAAUGGGGAAAGAGAGAGGGAAAUGCGGCCGGGAAAUUGGGAUAAAUGGAGGCUGCGUCCUCCAAAUAUCAGAGACACUCCAGGGGAAUGCCCUAUGGCCUCUCCCUUUAUUCAAAAUAAAGUAUAAAGAAUUCCUCUGUCUCCUUUUUGGACAUAAA